This 301-nucleotide ribosomal RNA is filed under the name uncultured bacterium. RNAcentral's name for it is "partial 16S ribosomal RNA". It matches the Rfam family "Bacterial small subunit ribosomal RNA", at positions 509 to 807 of the family's 1533-position model. The record is from RNAcentral.
CAGCAGCCGCGGGAAUACAGAGGAUGCAAGCGUUAUCCGGAGUGAUUGGGCGUAAAGCGUCUGUAGGUGGCUUUUCAAGUCCGCCGUCAAAUCCCAGGGCUCAACCCUGGACAGGCGGUGGAAACUACCAAGCUGGAGUACGGUGGGGGCAGAGGGAAUUUCCGGUGGAGCGGUGAAAUGCGUUGAGAUCGGAAAGAACACCAACGGCGAAAGCACCCUGCUGGACCGACACUGACACUGAGAGACGAAAGCUAGGGGAGCAAGUGGGAUUAGAUACCCCUGAAGUCCCUGUCUCUUAUAC